ACCCUUUGUGACAUACCUAUAACUGUUGCUUCGGCGGGUAGGGUCUCCGCGACCCUCCCGGCCUCCCGCCUCCGGGCGGGUCGGCGCCCGCCGGAGGAUAACCAAACUCUGAUUUAACGACGUUUCUUCUGAGUGGCACAAGCAAAUAAUCAAAACUUUUAACAACGGAUCUCUUGGUUCUGGCAUCGAUGAAGAACGCAGCGAAAUGCGAUAAGUAAUGUGAAUUGCAGAAUUCAGUGAAUCAUCGAAUCUUUGAACGCACAUUGCGCCCGCCAGCAUUCUGGCGGGCAUGCCUGUUCGAGCGUCAUUUCAACCCUCAAGCUCUGCUUGGUGUUGGGGCCCUACAGCUGAUGUAGGCCCUCAAAGGUAGUGGCGGACCCUCUCGGAGCCUCCUUUGCGUAGUAACUUUACGUCUCGCACUGGGAUCCGGAGGGACUCUUGCCGUAAAACCCCCAAUUUUCCAAAGGUUGACCUCGGAUCAGGUAGGAAUACCCGCUGAACUUAAGCAUAUCAA
This 514-nucleotide ribosomal RNA is filed under the name Colletotrichum siamense. RNAcentral's name for it is "eukaryotic LSU rRNA". The stretch from base 154 to 307 matches the Rfam family "5.8S ribosomal RNA". The record is from RNAcentral. Lineage: Eukaryota; Fungi; Ascomycota; Sordariomycetes; Glomerellales; Glomerellaceae.